CGAGGGUUGCUUUAAGUGGAUAUUGAAUUGUUUAAGCAAACGAGGUUGAGCGGGAUGUUGCGGAGGAUGUUGAGUUGGCCCAAGAACUUAGGAUGCGUUGUGUCUUCAUACAUAGGCGUUAUCCUCGACUCUUUUUAAACCUUAGUUCCGCUGCUAUAUUUUUUGAACUAUGCCUCAAGACUUUAUUCCAUUUCAUACUGUGUUUGAGCAUGUUUAAUUGUGUUAGGCUUUAAUCUGAUGUUUACCUUGGUUCUCUAAAAUGGUUUCUCGUGAACUAAACCAAUGUUUUCUUUUGGAA
This is a long non-coding RNA of Salvia splendens (bonfire salvia), 298 nucleotides long. RefSeq lists it as uncharacterized. The transcript is spliced from 2 exons. NCBI's taxonomy places the organism in Eukaryota, Viridiplantae, Streptophyta, Magnoliopsida, Lamiales, Lamiaceae. The record is from RefSeq and is a predicted model, not a curated record.